UAGUCCACGCCGUAAACGAUGAUUACUCGCUGUAGGCGAUACACAGUCUGUGGCUAAGCGAAAGUUUUAAGUAAUCCACCUGGGGAGUACGAUCGCAAGAUUGAAACUCAAAGGAAUUGACGGGGGCCCGCACAAGCGGAGGAACAUGUGGUUUAAUUCGAUGAUACGCGAGGAACCUUACCUGGACUUAAAUGUGCGUUGCAUAGAUCAGAGAUGGUCUUUUCUUCGGACUACGUACAAGGUGCUGCAUGGUUGUCGUCAGCUCGUGCCGUGAGGUGUCGGGUUAAGUCCCAUAACGAGCGCAACCCUUAUUCUUAGUUGCCAGCACAUAAUGGUGGGGACUCUAGGAAGACUGCCGGCGUAAGCCGCGAGGAAGGUGGGGACGACGUCAGGUCCUCAUGGCCUUUAUGCCUAGGGCUGCACACGUCCUACAAUGCAACGUACAAAGCGAAGCGAAAUCGCGAGAUCAAGCAAACCUGAAAAAGCGACCGCUCAGUUCGGAUUG
Molecule: ribosomal RNA, 505 nt
Filed under: uncultured bacterium
Lineage: Bacteria
Description: bacterial SSU rRNA
Rfam family: Bacterial small subunit ribosomal RNA
Source: RNAcentral